CGAAUUGAAAAAUAAAUAAAAUGUGUAGUUAAAAUUGCAAAUAUAUAAAAAGAAUAAUUAAACAAACUUCAUAAAAACUGAGGACUCAACGCGCAAAUUUCCCAUCAAGGGCCAAAACACGCAGAUCCAUAGCCAUUAAACGGCAUUGUUUUAAUAUACUGCAUAAAAAACCAUUUAAAACUUGUUUUAAAACAAAAUUAGGUCACUUUUCUUUUUGUUUGAAAAUACAACAGCAGACUCAGCCCCCCCUCCGCCGUUUCAGACUUCGACGAAACGAGGACGCCCUCCUACGACCCUCAUGACGGUAAGUCCUCCUUUCUUUCUCCUUUUUCGUUUAUCUUCAAAACAAGGGAAAAAAAAUAAAAGGAACAAAACAGUGAAAAGAAAAGAAAAAUGGAGUCGACUAAUUACCUUCCAAAUAGUUUUUUUGAUUGUUCUUUGUUUGUAUUUCAGUCUUUCACUACAACAAUCGUCUAACCCCCAUUACAAAUUGAAAUCAGCCUUUUAUAUCCGAGCCGCACCCCCCAAAAAAUAAUAAAUCUCCUAAAAAUAAAAUAAAAUAAAAUAAAAUAAAAAAAUCUCUAAAUAAAUAAAACUACUUCCUCUUAUUUGCUGCCUCUACUGCCAUUUUGAUCAAUUUUUCGCAGGUAUGGAGAUCGUGGAAGACGUGCGAGCAAUGUCAUGGGAUAAUAAACAGUUGCUGAACGUGGGUGGUUGCGGCCGAAACCAUCAGCCUCCUAGGAUUUCUGUGACUUAGAAAAAUUUGGGCUGUAUAGGGUUAUUGGUUUGGGCUUUAUUGGGCCUCAUGUAUUUGGUUUGUAUUUGGCCAAAUGUGGGCUGUAAACAGUUUUGGGCCCCGGGCAAUAAUUAGGUAUUACAUGUAGUUUGUCACUUGAAUUUGGCCAAAAGUACCAAAUUGGUACCUAAACUUUUUUUUUGUACGUGGUUGGUACUUGAAUUUGUUUUCCAUCACUUAGGUUGGUACCUCCGCACUAACAUCAUUAGUUUGUGCAUAGGCUGACUCGAAAAAAUAAAAAAAAAAAUUUGAAUUUCGAGUUAAACGAAUUGAGUUAUUCGAAUCAACUCGAAUAUUUUUUUCGAAUUUCGAGUUCGAAUCGAAUUGAGUUUUCGAAUUCGAAUAACUUGAAUAAUUCGAAUAUCAAACUAUAAUAUUUUACAUUUUUACCCCAAACUCUCAAACUUUUUUACUUUUCCCUCAAAAUUUUUACUCCUUCCCACUUUCCCCCCAAAACUUUUAUUCUCCUCCCCUCCCAACCCUUUAAUCUACCCAAAAUUCAUUUCCCACCAAAAUUUUACUCUCCUAUUUAUUUUUUCUCAAAAUUUUACUUUCCAAAACCAUCAAAACCUUUUAUUUUCGCCCAAAAUUUUUACUCCUUCCCACUUUUCUCCUAAAACUUUUAUUCACUUCUCAUCCCACCUUCCAUCUAUCCCAAACCUUCCCCCCUUCAAUUUUUUUUAAAUAUUUUUCCUUCAAAAUUUUACUCCCUCUAUUUAUUUUCUCUCAAACUUUUAUUCUCCAAAACUUUUUAUUUUUCCCUUAAACUUUUACUU
RNAcentral lists this long non-coding RNA (1572 nucleotides) under Gossypium barbadense (sea-island cotton). Its description in RNAcentral is "long non-coding RNA (GBAR_LNC020012)". The record is from RNAcentral. Lineage: Eukaryota; Viridiplantae; Streptophyta; Magnoliopsida; Malvales; Malvaceae.